AUGAACGCUGGCGGCGUGCCUAAUACAUGCAAGUCGAGCGAACGGACGAGAAGCUUGCUUCUCUGAUGUUAGCGGCGGACGGGUGAGUAACACGUGGAUAACCUACCUAUAAGACUGGGAUAACUUCGGGAAACCGGAGUUAAUACCGGAUAAUAUUUUGAACCGCAUGGUUCAAAAGUGAAAGACGGUCUUGCUGUCACUUAUAGAUGGAUCCGCGCUGCAUUAGCUAGUUGGUAAGGUAACGGCUUACCAAGGCAACGAUGCAUAGCCGACCUGAGAGGGUGAUCGGCCACACUGGAACUGAGACACGGUCCAGACUCCUACGGGAGGCAGCAGUAGGGAAUCUUCCGCAAUGGGCGAAAGCCUGACGGAGCAACGCCGCGUGAGUGAUGAAGGUCUUCGGAUCGUAAAACUCUGUUAUUAGGGAAGAACAUAUGUGUAAGUAACUGUGCACAUCUUGACGGUACCUAAUCAGAAAGCCACGGCUAACUACCUG
This 496-nucleotide ribosomal RNA is filed under the name uncultured bacterium. Its description in RNAcentral is "partial 16S ribosomal RNA". It matches the Rfam family "Bacterial small subunit ribosomal RNA", at positions 29 to 507 of the family's 1533-position model. The record is from RNAcentral.